UACGUAGGGGGCAAGCGUUAUCCGGAUUUACUGGGUGUAAAGGGAGCGUAGACGGCGAUGCAAGUCUGAAGUGAAAGGCGGGGGCCCAACCCCCGGACUGCUUUGGAAACUGUAUAGCUGGAGUGCAGGAGAGGUAAGUGGAAUUCCUAGUGUAGCGGUGAAAUGCGUAGAGAUUAGGAAGAACACCAGUGGCGAAGGCGACUUACUGGACUGUAACUGACGCUGAGGCAUGAGAGCAUGGGGAGCAAACAGG
This 253-nucleotide ribosomal RNA is filed under the name uncultured Eubacteriales bacterium. RNAcentral's name for it is "uncultured Clostridiales bacterium partial 16S ribosomal RNA". It matches the Rfam family "Bacterial small subunit ribosomal RNA", at positions 524 to 776 of the family's 1533-position model. The record is from RNAcentral. Lineage: Bacteria; Bacillati; Bacillota; Clostridia; Eubacteriales.